GUCCUUUUUGUAUUACGGUCUGUAGGAAGUUAGAAUGUUUUAUUUUUUCUCGAAUUUAAAAGAUCUAUAUUAUUUAUGGGAUUAAAAUUAAUUUAAGAUUUUUUUUAUGUCUAUUGGGGUAAAAAUGAAUUUUUUAAUAUCUAAUAAAAUAGUUUAGGAGUGAUAUUUUUUCGUUUUUAAUUAACUAGUGAUUAGUUUUAUGAAGUAUUAGCUUUAUAACUAUUAAAUAAAUUUAUUUAGGUUUAAUUUUUUGUUCUUUAUGUAUAAAAAUAUUUAGCAGUAAUAAUUUGAUUGUUAAAAAUGAAGGUAAUUUUCUAAAAUUAUUAAAACUUUUUAUAAAAAUUUUUCUUUUUUGUGAAAUUAUAGAAUUAGUAUAAAAUUAAAUUUUUAGAACUCAAGAGUCAUACGACUGUUUAUUAAAAACAUUUUCUUUUUUUUUAAAAGAUAAUCCCUGCUCCAUGAAUGAGAAAUUUGUUUAAAUAGCUGCAGUAUCUUGACUGUACUAAGGUAGCAUAAUUACUUGUCUGAUAAUUACAGAAUUGUUUGAAUGGGGAAAUAAGAUAUGGCCAUUUGUUUAUUUGUUUUAAAAUUUUAAGUUUUUAAUUUGCAAGAGAAGUCAAGAUGCUUCUAUUAGUAUUAAUUUUAAUUAAGACGAAAAGACCCUAAAGAAUUUUUAUUUAAUUCUUUUAAGUUAAUUUUUUAAAAUAUUUUAGAGUUAAAUUUUUGAUGGGGUAUUAGAUUUAUUAAUUAUAAUUUAAAUAAUUAAAGUUUGAAUAAUAAAAUAGUUAUAAAAAUUUUGAAAAAAAAUUUCCUUAGGGAUAACAGGAUAAUAAUAUUUGGGAGUUCUUAUCGGAAAUAUUGAUUAUUACCUCGAUGUUGAAUCAUAAUAAAAAUUAGGUGUAGAGGCUUUUAUUUUUAGUCUGUUCGACUAUUAAAAAUAUUCGUGAUUUGAGUUUAGACCGAUGUAAAUCAGGUUGGUUUUUAUCUAAUGGAAUAAAGGUUGUACGUAAGGACUCUUUUUAUAGGUUUUAA
Molecule: ribosomal RNA, 1032 nt
Filed under: Parakontikia atrata
Lineage: Eukaryota; Metazoa; Platyhelminthes; Tricladida; Geoplanidae
Description: 16S ribosomal RNA
Source: RNAcentral